This 342-nucleotide long non-coding RNA is filed under the name Lepeophtheirus salmonis (salmon louse). Its description in RNAcentral is "uncharacterized LOC121123897". The record is from RNAcentral. Lineage: Eukaryota; Metazoa; Arthropoda; Copepoda; Siphonostomatoida; Caligidae.
UCCUUUAUGUAUGUGACAGGCUAUGACACAAUUAGAUGCACUUAAAUUAAAAGCACUUUAGUGUAACAAAAAACCAGGACCGACGAGAACGCCAAGUAUUGAACUGGUAUUCAGAUUGCACCAAAAAGGUAUAUCUCUGUGGAGAGGAUGAUGACAUUUCAGAAGGUUGUUUCUGUGAAGCAUGUUAACUAACUAUUUAUGGUUAUAUCCAAUUGUAUAGUUAUAUUACAAUCUAUGAAUAACUCAUUGUAAUUAAUAUUUCCAUACUCUAUCUGUAAAAAAAGUUAAUCAUAAUAUGUAAAAUAAAGUAAUUUGCACGAAUUUGCCAACAUUUGAAACCUA